This 486-nucleotide ribosomal RNA is filed under the name uncultured bacterium. Its description in RNAcentral is "partial 16S ribosomal RNA". It matches the Rfam family "Bacterial small subunit ribosomal RNA", at positions 29 to 507 of the family's 1533-position model. The record is from RNAcentral.
AACGAACGCUGGCGGCGCGUCUUAACCAUGCAAGUCGAGCGGCAGGCAGCAAUGCCGAGAGCGGCGGACUGGUGAGUAACACGUGGAUAACGUACCCCGAUGUCCGGGACAGCCUGUAGAAAUAGAGGGUAAUACCGGAUAGAUCACUGUUUACGUGAGGUAGACAGCGGGAAAGGAGCUUCGGCUCCGCGACGGGAUCGGUCUGCGGCCCAUCAGCUGGACGGCGGGGUAAAGGCCCGCCGUGGCGAGGACGGGUAUCCGGCCUGAGAGGGCGGACGGACACAUUGGGACUGAGAUACGGCCCAGACUCCUACGGGAGGCAGCAGGUAAGAAUAUUCCGCAAUGGGGGGAACCCUGACGGAGCGACGCCGCGUGAACGAAGAAGGCCGGAAGAUUGUAAAGUUCUUUUCUGUCCGAGGAAUAAGUUUCAGAGGAAAUGCCGGGACGGUGACGGUAGGGCAGGAAUAAGCACCGGCUAAUUACGUG